This is a long non-coding RNA of Sciurus carolinensis (gray squirrel), 2080 nucleotides long. RefSeq lists it as uncharacterized. The transcript is spliced from 3 exons. Lineage: Eukaryota; Metazoa; Chordata; Mammalia; Rodentia; Sciuridae. The record is from RefSeq and is a predicted model, not a curated record.
CCCUCCUUGCCCAGGUGAAGAGGAAGAAACCUGAGCACUAGGGUCACGCCCCUUCACUUGCCGGGCUUUAACCGCAGGUGCGCUUGGGACGCAGCGGAGCCAAAGCUGGAGGGACGCCCCUGGAAAGGCUCGGCGCCACCUUUUCCCUGCAGGUUCCUUCCAGCUCUAAAAGUCCAUGUUCCCCUUUACUUGAAUGAAUCUAACACCUCUUCAAGCUCAUUGCCACUACUACAAGGUAAGCCACCAUCACCUCUUACCUGGACACUGCAACUACCUCCAAACCAAUCUCCCUAUCUUCACUCUUGUCCUUCUAAAACCUGUUCCCCAGAGUGAUCUUUGUUUACCAAAUUAGAUGUGUUGUUUUCUUUUAAAAAUUUUUCAGUGGCACUCCUGCGCUCAUACAAGUAAAUGCAAUACCAUGACUUAUCUGGCUCUGUGCGUCAGCCACACAGGCCUCUCUCUUCAUGAAAUGUACUACAUAUGUUCUGUCCCACUAAUGCACCUUUGCACACUCUGUUCUCUAUGCCUGAAUACUCUUCUCCAUCUACCCCCACUCUUUUUCCUUUAACCAGCUAACUGAUUCAUUCUUCAGCUAUCAGCUCAAAUAUCACUUCUAGGAAGCCUGGCCUGAUUGCCCCACCCCAGACUGAGUCAGAUCAUCUGCUCAAUGUUCUCAUGGCUACCUGUACUUCUCUUUCAAAGCACUUUUUAUAGUCUGAAACCACUUUGUGUUCUUAUUGAUUCAACGUGGGUCGCCCUAUUGUAAUUCGCCUUGGUGAAUUCCAAGAGGUUAGAGAUAGGUGGAUUUUAUCACCAGUGAAUAUUUGAUAAAUGAAUGAAAAAAUAAAUUUCAAAUAAAUAGUAUUUCAUCCACUGUUCAAUAACUACUUUCUGGAUGCCUGUCAUGUACCAGGCACUAUGCUUGACCACAGGGAUACAGCAAUGAACAAAAGAGAUAAGAACAUUGUGUUCGUGUAACUCAUUCUUCAGAAGGAAGCAAGUAAAAAAGACAUAAGAUAGCAAAUGUUUUGAAGGCAGUGAAACAGGAUAAUGUAAUGAGGCUGGAUCUGAUCUCAAGUUAGGUCAGAAAAACUUUCUGAAGAAAUGACUUAAACAAUGAGCCAACCAAGAGGGAACCAUGUUAUAAGCAAUAAAAAUAGCAAGUGCGGGCUGGGGUUGUAGCUCAGUGGCAAAGUGCUUGCUCAGCAUGUGCGAGGCUCUGAGUUCUAUUUUCAGAACCACAUAUAAAUAAAUAAAGGUCCAUUGACAACUAAAAAAAUAUUUAAAAAACAACAAGUACACAGGCCCUGUGUCAAUUGUCCAUUUGAGACUUGUAGUCAUUAAUUUGAAGCAGGAUUUCUUAACCUUGGCACUACUAACUUGGAGUCAGACAAUUCUUUGUUGUCCUGUGUAUUCUAGGAUAGUUAGCAACGUCCCUGACAUCUUUCAAUUAGAUGUAGUAAAACAUUCCCCCACACCCCAGUGUGAUAAUCAAAAAUAUCUCCAGACAUUGCCAAAUGUCCUAGGAAGGAGAGGAGCAAAGUUUGUCCCAGUUAAGAACUGUUGAUUUUGAAGGGUUAUGGAAAAGUAAUAUUCCUGUACGUGGUCCUCAAAGAUAAAAGGGAGAAAGGUGCAGCUCAGGAGGGAGGAGAGACUAGGCAAGAAUUAACCUCCCAACAUAUUCUUUCCUGAUAACAAUGGGUCCUAAAGGAAAGGGGUGGAUAUUGACCUUGACCUUCCCCCAUUGCAAAUUAAUCUUAAAGGAAGCACAGCCAAUAACAAUGGGCAAGAUUUGAGUACUCAUCCCUCCGGGUCUGGUUUUAACCUGUACAACUAGCCCCUGAAGGUCAAAAACUGCAUAUGCACAGCUUCCAAUGAUUAUAUGAUCCUCAUUGUACCCUAUAAACCCAAAAUCUCCCCUGUAACUGCUGGCCUUUUGUGUGUGUGUGUGUGUGUGUGGUGCUGGGGAUCAAACCCAGGGCCUUGGGCUUGCAAGGCAAGCACUCUACUGACUGAUCCAUCUCCCCAGCCCUGGUGGCCAUUUUUGAAUCUGGAAAAUGUGCCCCACCAGCACCCCGAG